UGCCGUUGUAGCUCAGUUGGUAGAGCAAUUGAUUCGUAAUCAAAAGGUCGGAAGUUCGAUUCUUCUCAGCGGCAU
Molecule: transfer RNA, 75 nt
Filed under: Legionella pneumophila
Lineage: Bacteria; Pseudomonadati; Pseudomonadota; Gammaproteobacteria; Legionellales; Legionellaceae
Description: tRNA-Thr(cgt)
Rfam family: tRNA
About the family: Transfer RNA (tRNA) molecules are approximately 80 nucleotides in length. Their secondary structure includes four short double-helical elements and three loops (D, anti-codon, and T loops). Further hydrogen bonds mediate the characteristic L-shaped molecular structure. tRNAs have two regions of fundamental functional importance: the anti-codon, which is responsible for specific mRNA codon recognition, and the 3' end, to which the tRNAs corresponding amino acid is attached (by aminoacyl-tRNA synthetases). tRNAs cope with the degeneracy of the genetic code in two manners: having more than one tRNA (with a specific anti-codon) for a particular amino acid; and 'wobble' base-pairing, i.e. permitting non-standard base-pairing at the 3rd anti-codon position.
Source: RNAcentral